This 960-nucleotide long non-coding RNA is filed under the name Nicotiana benthamiana. Its description in RNAcentral is "long non-coding RNA (NBEN_LNC039348)". Lineage: Eukaryota; Viridiplantae; Streptophyta; Magnoliopsida; Solanales; Solanaceae. The record is from RNAcentral.
CAUCCAACGUCUCUUCUUUCUAUCGCCAAACCAAAACAAAAUCGUCUUUGCAGUUUUAACAAUUUAAUUUCUCCAACAUCUAAAAUAUGGCACCAAAAAAUGACAUUUCUAAAAUAGGCCAAGAAGGCUUUGCUCUUCUUGACGAAAUGUAUGAAAGGAAGAAAACUUUUAACAAUUUAAUUUCUCCAACACCUAAAAUAUGGCACCAAAAAAUGACAUUUCUAAAAUAGGCCAAGAAGGCUUUGCUCUUCUUGACGAAAUGUAUGAAAGGAAGAAAAGGCCUUCUUCUGCUUCAUACCAACAAAAGAAGUUCCAUAUUGUUCAGCUGAAACCAGCUUCUGCCUUUCAAGAGGGAGUUAUAAACAGCCAUGAAGCUGUAAAGUUAUAUGGAGGGAUUGUUUUCUCAGAUUAUUCUAAGAGAAAAUCAACAACUUUUGCUUAUUAAUAAGUUCCUGCUGCUGGUUGGCUAUUGUAGCUAUGUAUAUGUAUGUGAUGAAGCUUGUUUUUUCUUUUUUUAAAUAUUAGAUUAAUCCAUCCACCCCAGCUUUCACCUCUCGUGGUGUCGGGGGAUUUAGCGAAGAUCCCAACCAUAUAAGAUAUAGCUCGCUACUUGUAUGUGUAUUAUAUAUGUGUUCUAGGUAUAAGGUAUUAGUUAUGUUUCCCCUAGGUAAUCAUAGCUGAGCAUGUAAGUGAUGAUGUUUUAUAUUUCACUUAUAUGUAAUAAUAUAUAUCUCUAUCCCAGGGUAGAGGUAAGGUCUGCGUACAUACUAUCCUUCCUAGACCCUACUAUGUGGGAUUAUACUGAGUUGUUAUUGUUAUUGUUAUUAUUGUUGUAAUAAUAUAUAUAUAUCAUGCUCCGUUGUGAUUUAAGCUGGUCAUAUGAAUCGAUCUUUUGUUUUAAACUAAUAUACCACUAGGUAGUGUAACUUCGAAGCUUAUUUUAUUAAAAAUAAAUACCUC